GUAGGGAAUCUUCCACAAUGGACGCAAGUCUGAUGGAGCAACGCCGCGUGAGUGAAGAAGGUCUUCGGAAUCGUAAAACUCUGUUGUUAGAGAAGAACACGAGUGAGAGUAACUGUUCAUUCGAUGACGGUAUCUAACCAGCAAGUCACGGCUAACUACGUGCCA
Molecule: ribosomal RNA, 165 nt
Filed under: uncultured bacterium
Lineage: Bacteria
Description: partial 16S rRNA
Rfam family: Bacterial small subunit ribosomal RNA
Source: RNAcentral